RNAcentral lists this ribosomal RNA (253 nucleotides) under uncultured bacterium. Its description in RNAcentral is "partial 16S ribosomal RNA". It matches the Rfam family "Bacterial small subunit ribosomal RNA", at positions 524 to 776 of the family's 1533-position model. The record is from RNAcentral.
UACGGAGGGAGCUAGCGUUGUUCGGAAUUACUGGGCGUAAAGCGCACGUAGGCGGUUAUUUAAGUCAUAGGUGAAAGCCCAGUGCUCAACACUGGAACUGCCUUUGAGACUGGAUAACUUGAAUCCAGGAGAGGUGAGUGGAAUUCCGAGUGUAGAGGUGAAAUUCGUAGAUAUUCGGAAGAACACCAGUGGCGAAGGCGGCUCACUGGACUGGUAUUGACGCUGAGGUGCGAAAGCGUGGGGAGCAAACAGG